Amblyraja radiata (thorny skate) is the source of this 148-nucleotide long non-coding RNA. RefSeq lists it as uncharacterized. NCBI's taxonomy places the organism in Eukaryota, Metazoa, Chordata, Chondrichthyes, Rajiformes, Rajidae. The record is from RefSeq and is a predicted model, not a curated record. The transcript has 3 exons.
CAGGGGAUAUGGGGAGAAGGCAGGAACGGGAGGAAAUCCACAUCAGGCAGGUAAUGGUGUUGGGUAGACUGAUGGGACUGAAGGCUGAUAAAUCCCCAGGGCCUGAUGGUCUGCAUCUCAGGGUACUUAAGGAAGUGGCUCCAGAAAU